GGUUCUAUAGUGUAGCCAUUAGCAUGUCUUCUUCACACACAGAAGGUCCUGGGUUCACAUCCUAGUGGAGCCA
This is a non-coding RNA of Pteropus alecto (black flying fox), 73 nucleotides long. The record is from Rfam. Lineage: Eukaryota; Metazoa; Chordata; Mammalia; Chiroptera; Pteropodidae.